This 253-nucleotide ribosomal RNA is filed under the name uncultured bacterium. RNAcentral's name for it is "partial 16S ribosomal RNA". It matches the Rfam family "Bacterial small subunit ribosomal RNA", at positions 524 to 776 of the family's 1533-position model. The record is from RNAcentral.
UACGUAGGGUGCAAGCGUUAUUCGGAAUUACUGGGCGUAAAGCGUGCGCAGGCGGUGAUGUAAGUCAGAUGUGAAAUCCCCGGGCUCAACCUGGGAACUGCAUUUGUGACUGCAUCGCUGGAGUACGGCAGAGGGGGAUGGAAUUCCGCGUGUAGCAGUGAAAUGCGUAGAUAUGCGGAGGAACACCGAUGGCGAAGGCAAUCCCCUGGGCCUGUACUGACGCUCAUGCACGAAAGCGUGGGGAGCAAACAGG